GACAUUUGGUAGAGACUAUUGAAGCUACCUGGUCCCAGCAGACCCUAGAAAAUGGCCACAUUCACUGGUACUGGAACAAGGUCAUUAAAGGUGAAGCCUGGUACCAGAUGUGU
Panthera pardus (leopard) is the source of this 113-nucleotide ribosomal RNA. Lineage: Eukaryota; Metazoa; Chordata; Mammalia; Carnivora; Felidae. The record is from Ensembl.